Lactuca sativa (garden lettuce) is the source of this 2105-nucleotide non-coding RNA. The record is from RefSeq and is a predicted model, not a curated record. Lineage: Eukaryota; Viridiplantae; Streptophyta; Magnoliopsida; Asterales; Asteraceae.
ACUUCAAAAGAUAAAACGUUUUGGGCCGGUUGUGCAGCAAUCAAAAAGUUAUAACCUAACGAGUGGAAACCCUUCGCUGCCUGCGGUUCACUUUCUCCGACACAGUAAUAAUGGUGGACGUUGUGCAAGCUCGAGGCAUGUUUAAUGAGUUCGACGACCUUGAGCACCAUGGCUUGUUCUCUAGCCGUGAAAUUUCCGACAUGGUGAAACAACGUUGGAAGUUCGAAUAUAGAGCAAACGGUCAAGUCCCCUGAAACAUCAACUACGCGAAAUUUCUAGAUUAGCUCAUUCUCCUCCAUAAUACAGGGAUGAAUCGUAGGGAUCUUCAACAAAUUUGAACAUGUAUUAACAUCUCUUAUUCCAUUUCUGUGAAGUUCUAACACAUCAAACGUCCUUUAUUUGGAAAACUCCUCCUGAUUUGAAUUUGUGACGUUUCUUUCCAUUUUCGGUUUUGCAGGUGCACAACAGCUAUUCGAUGAAAUGCUUACAUGAACUGGGAGUGCAUUUUGAGUAUAUCUAUCUCCCUCUUUUCAUAAUCGUGAUAAAGCUGUUGGAAAAAAGUAAUGGUGUUGGUUCUCAAUGGUGGAGUAAUUGGAGUGCUGGAAUUACAAACACAAUUGGCCCUGCAAUGGGGAUUGAAGCUCUAAAAAUAUCUGUUAUCCUGCUCAGGUAUUUAAAUAGUAUAAAAGAAAGUGAUUUUGUAACAAAUGCAGUUUUUAUUAUCACUUAUAAAACUUAGCUUCGUAAUCAUACCAUGUUUACAAAAUAUUAAUCAAUCUUAAUCUUUUGCACAGUGAUGCUGAUGGGGUUUCUAGUUUAUGUUGAUGGUGCCGUUUCUUUAUAAUAUUGGAUUACUUCUUCAGUAAUGUGUGUGAACUAGAUUUGGUCUUCAACUUCUAAGGCACUUCAAUUUUUUUUUUUUUUUUUGAUGUAAUGAAUAUUUAUGUUUUGUUGCCUGUUAUUUUCUAUAUCUAAGACCUAAUUGUGAUUUGUUAAAAGGUGUAUUUGAUUUUAGACUAGUAGGUAAUCAUUUUCUGGCCCAGAUGAUGUAUAACACAUAACUAACACUCUUUUGUCCAAACAAUAGGUCAUAUUUCCAAAAAAUCAUCUUCUGCCAAAGCUGUUCACUUAUUCACUGACCCAAAAAUAUGAAGAAGUCUACCAAGAGAAUGGUGUCAACCUCAUGAAGGGUGCCUCUAUAAAAAGCUUGACAUCUGGUCCUUAUGGAAAAUGUAACUGGUGUUAAAUUUGAAAAUGGAUAUACCAUUGAAGCAAAUUUGGUAAUUUUACAAUUACAUUGAUCAAUUUCACUGUUUUAUGUUCUAACAACUUCUUGAUUAACCCUUAAGUGCAUGAAAGGUAAAAUGGGUAUAUAUGUUUCAUCUCCCCUUAAGAACAUUAAAGGUUAUGGAGGGGUUGUUCCCAUCACAUUAGUUGGAGUCACCUUGUUUUCUCCAGGGAAAUGUAUUUUGAAGCUUAUAAAAUAUACUCCUGUGACAAGUAAUUGGUAUGAUACAAUGAUACCCAUUUGUUGUUUUUCCCAUUUAGGUUAAGUGAUUGGGGCUUUGUGGUUAGAUCAGAGAGGAUGGAAAGCAAAAUGAUGUACGUAGUUGUAUGACUACAGGUAAUACAUGUAUGGUUUUUGUUAAAUAAAUUAAUAAUAAACAAAAAGAGAUUUGUAUUUGGCUAUUUUAUAGAUGUUCAAGCGUUGUGGAGGGUGUUGUGUCUUAGUUUCAAAGAGUGGUUAAAAGUUUCCAAAUUGAUGAUGACCAAAAUACUAGUGAUGAAGGAGAAAACAUCUCACUGCUACUACACGAUUUCAGAACAACUCACUUCAUUUGCGUCUUUAUAAAGCAAAAAUCAAGGCAAGUAGGCAGUUACAGAUGCAAAAUUCAAUUAAAAAGGCCUUAGAGGAAGCUAGUCUCCCUAUACCCAUAAUAGUGAUUGAUAACGAUCUAUAUCACAUUCUUUUGUAACAACUAUAUUUGUAUACAGUUUAUAAAAUGAGUAAGCCAAUUGCAACAGGAAUACUUACUGUUUUUGGAAAUCUAUUUUGUUGGUUGUUGUCCAAAAUUUGUUCUGAGGUGAAUAUAUGAUGUUUCUAG